GCCCCAGUUCGGAUUGUAGUCUGCAACCCGACUACAUGAAGCCGGAAUCGCUAGUAAUCGCGGAUCAGAAUGCCGCGGUGAAUACGUUCCCGGGUCUUGUACACACCGCCCGUCACACCAUGGGAGUCGGGAAUGCCCGAAGUCAGUGACCCAACCCAAGGGGAGGGAGCUGCCGAAGGCAGGCCUGGUGACUGGGGUGAAGUCGUAACAAGGUAAC
RNAcentral lists this ribosomal RNA (217 nucleotides) under uncultured bacterium. RNAcentral's name for it is "partial 16S ribosomal RNA". It matches the Rfam family "Bacterial small subunit ribosomal RNA", at positions 1285 to 1500 of the family's 1533-position model. The record is from RNAcentral.